Molecule: ribosomal RNA, 655 nt
Filed under: uncultured bacterium
Lineage: Bacteria
Description: bacterial SSU rRNA
Rfam family: Bacterial small subunit ribosomal RNA
Source: RNAcentral
AGAGUUUGAUCCUGGCUCAGAACGAACGCUGGCGGUAUGCCUAACACAUGCAAGUCGAACGAGAAAGUGAUCUUCGGAUCGCGAGUAGAGUGGCGCACGGGUGAGUAACACGUGGAUAACCUGCCCUAGAGUCUGGGAUAACACUUCGAGAGGGGUGCUAAUACCGGAUAAGCCCACGAAUUCUUCGGAAUUAGUGGGAAAAGAUUUAUUGCUCUAGGAUGGGUCCGCGGUCCAUUAGCUAGUUGGUGGGGUAAUGGCCUACCAAGGCUGCGAUGGAUAGCUGGUCUGAGAGGAUGAUCAGCCACACUGGAACUGAGACACGGUCCAGACUCCUACGGGAGGCAGCAGUGGGGAAUUUUGCGCAAUGGACGAAAGUCUGACGCAGCAAUACCGCAUGAAGGAUGAAGGCCUUUGGGUCGUAAACUUCUGUCAGAGGGGAAGAAAUACUCGCAAGAGUGCUGACGGUACCCUCAAAGGAAGCACCGGCUAACUCCGUGCCAGCAGCCGCGGUAAUACGGAGGGUGCAAGCGUUGUUCGGAAUUAUUGGGCGUAAAGAGCAUGUAGGCGGUCUGUUAAGUCUGAUGUGAAAGCCCGGGGCUCAACCCCGGAAGUGCAUUGGAUACUGGCAGACUUGAGUAUGGGAGAGGGAAGUGGA